RNAcentral lists this ribosomal RNA (377 nucleotides) under uncultured Acidovorax sp. RNAcentral describes it as "bacterial SSU rRNA". It matches the Rfam family "Bacterial small subunit ribosomal RNA", at positions 999 to 1382 of the family's 1533-position model. The record is from RNAcentral. Lineage: Bacteria; Pseudomonadati; Pseudomonadota; Betaproteobacteria; Burkholderiales; Comamonadaceae.
CGCAGAGACGCGAUUGUGCUCGAAAGAGAGCCGUAACACAGGUGCUGCAUGGCUGUCGUCAGCUCGUGUCGUGAGAUGUUGGGUUAAGUCCCGCAACGAGCGCAACCCUUGCCAUUAGUUGCUACGAAAGGGCACUCUAAUGGGACUGCCGGUGACAAACCGGAGGAAGGUGGGGAUGACGUCAAGUCCUCAUGGCCCUUAUAGGUGGGCUACACACGUCAUACAAUGGCUGGUACAAAGGGUUGCCAACCCGCAGGGGGAGCUAAUCCCAUAAAGCCAGUCGUAGUCCGGAUCGCAGUCUGCAACUCGACUGCGUGAAGUCGGAAUCGCUAGUAAUCGUGGAUCAGAAUGUCACGGUGAAUACGUUCCCGGGUCUU